UACGGAGGAUCCAAGCGUUAUCCGGAAUCAUUGGGUUUAAAGGGUCCGUAGGCGGUUUGGUAAGUCAGUGGUGAAAGCCCAUCGCUCAACGGUGGAACGGCCAUUGAUACUGCCAGGCUUGAAUUAUUAGGAAGUAACUAGAAUAUGUAGUGUAGCGGUGAAAUGCUUAGAGAUUACAUGGAAUACCAAUUGCGAAGGCAGGUUACUACUAAUGGAUUGACGCUGAUGGACGAAAGCGUGGGUAGCGAACAGG
RNAcentral lists this ribosomal RNA (253 nucleotides) under uncultured bacterium. RNAcentral's name for it is "partial 16S ribosomal RNA". It matches the Rfam family "Bacterial small subunit ribosomal RNA", at positions 524 to 776 of the family's 1533-position model. The record is from RNAcentral.